This 253-nucleotide ribosomal RNA is filed under the name uncultured bacterium. RNAcentral's name for it is "partial 16S ribosomal RNA". It matches the Rfam family "Bacterial small subunit ribosomal RNA", at positions 524 to 776 of the family's 1533-position model. The record is from RNAcentral.
UACAGAGGUCCCAAGCGUUGUUCGGAUUCACUGAGCGUAAAGGGUGCGUAGGCGGUCGGGUAAGUCUGAUGUGAAAUCUCACAGCUUAACUGUGAAACUGCAUUGGAUACUAUCCGGCUCGAGGAAUGGAGGGGAGACUGGAAUACUUGGUGUAGCAGUGAAAUGCGUAGAUAUCAAGUGGAACACCAGUGGCGAAGGCGAGUCUCUGGACAGUUCCUGACGCUGAGGCACGAAAGCCAGGGGAGCAAACGGG